UAAACAUUUAUUCAACUGACUUAAGCUUUUUCCCAAAAAUACACAUGUAUUUCAUAACUUUUGGUGUUAUUUUCGAACUCUUUUAAAUCUGUGCUAUUUAUCAAAACAAACAACGAGGACCGUGACAAUUUGCAUGUAUUUAUAUUUGCAAAUAUUUGUUGACAACAAGAAAGACCAUUUAUUUUAAAUUAAUAUUUAGAAGAUAUUAGUCCAAAAAUAAGGUAAAAGUGGAUAUUCAAACUUAAAAACACAUCAAACUUUACUAUUUGUAGUCAAAUUCUAUAAAGUUAUGAAUUCAUUUGAGAUUUAGUUCCAAAUAUAUAAAUUUGAAGAUUAUAUACUAGAUGUAUAUAAGUUUGAAUUAAGCUGACUUUCUAUAUAUAGUUUCAAAGUCAAUAGAUUUAUUGUCUACAGUAUAAACUGUCAAAAGUAAAAGGAUAAAAAAGCUCACACAAAAAAAAGUGGUCGACGGACGGGAUCUCGUUAUAUUAACUAUUAAUAAUUAUCAAAGAUUUUUUUGGCAAAAAAAAGACUAUCAAAGAUUUAAAGAUAACUACAAUACAACGGUUCUUUUAUAGACACACCCAUUCAAAAACAAUAGAAACCAAAGUAUAUUAUAACAAGCAUCGGAAAUAUGGUAAUUUAUACCAGUAAACUUCAUUAUAAAUGAAGUAGAAUACGGUCUAACAUCUAUAUUAUUAAAUUAUCGAUUAUAUAAUUAGCAAACGAUAAUAAAAAGUGUUCAAAUUUGAAUGGUUAAGUGUUUUUGGAAGAAAGGAUGCGAUGGACGGAUAGUGGAAAUGUAGUUUCUCCAUUUUAAUGAAACAGGUUUGCUUUAAGAUUAUGAGUUUUUUUAUAAAAAAAAUAACAAUCUCGUUACAUCACGUUAAAGAGAAAACAAUGCACGGAUUGUUUAUACUUAUUCAGAAAAAGAAAAAAAAAGAAACACGAGUAUGUUCCAACAAUUUUGGAAGUUUGGCGAAAUCACUUUACACGUAGAUUCACACUAGCUAACCUCUGUCUUACGUGAUUGGCCAACAAAUUAACAAGCAUGUAUAAACAAACA
Brassica rapa (field mustard) is the source of this 1066-nucleotide long non-coding RNA. RefSeq lists it as uncharacterized. Lineage: Eukaryota; Viridiplantae; Streptophyta; Magnoliopsida; Brassicales; Brassicaceae. The record is from RefSeq and is a predicted model, not a curated record.